RNAcentral lists this non-coding RNA (212 nucleotides) under Clostridium sp. RNAcentral describes it as "6S RNA". It matches the Rfam family "6S / SsrS RNA". Rfam says of the family: E. coli 6S RNA was the first non coding RNA to be sequenced, but its function was unknown until recently. Lineage: Bacteria; Bacillati; Bacillota; Clostridia; Eubacteriales; Clostridiaceae. The record is from RNAcentral.
GACAUCCUGAGAUGCACGGAAAAGUAGCUUAUUAUAUUCAACCUACAUUACAUUUUCGGGAUCUGCGAUAGGUUUACGUAUAUUGGACUUCAGAAAUUUAUAAAUGAUACGCCGUAUUGAUUAUAGCAGAAGAUAAUAGAAGUAAAUUGAGCGGAGCCCACCUGCGAGCCGCAGGUUAUGAAUAUAUAAGUGAACGGCAUACUGGGAUAUUU